AUUGAACGCUGGCGGAAUGCUUUACACAUGCAAGUCGAGCGGCAGCGCGGGGGCAACCUGGCGGCGAGCGGCGAACGGGUGAGUAAUGCAUCGGAACGUACCGUGUAAUGGGGGAUAACGUAGCGAAAGUUACGCUAAUACCGCAUACGCCCUGAGGGGGAAAGCGGGGGAUCGUAAGACCUCGCGUUAUACGAGCGGCCGAUGUCGGAUUAGCUAGUUGGUGGGGUAAAGGCCUACCAAGCCGACGACGGGUAACCGGUCUGAGAGGAUGGCCGGUCACAAGGGCACUGAGAGACGGGCCCUACUCCUACGGGAGGCAGCAGUGGGGGAUUUUGGACAAUGGGCGAAAGCCUGAUCCAGCGACGCCGCGUGGAGGACGAAGCCCUUCGGGGUGUAAACUCCUUUUCUCAGGGAAAAGGAUGAUGGUACCUGAGGAAUAAGCCCCGGCUAACUACGUG
RNAcentral lists this ribosomal RNA (458 nucleotides) under uncultured bacterium. RNAcentral describes it as "bacterial SSU rRNA". It matches the Rfam family "Bacterial small subunit ribosomal RNA", at positions 29 to 507 of the family's 1533-position model. The record is from RNAcentral.